RNAcentral lists this ribosomal RNA (216 nucleotides) under Glomeromycotina sp. RNAcentral describes it as "partial small subunit ribosomal RNA". The stretch from base 40 to 216 matches the Rfam family "Eukaryotic small subunit ribosomal RNA", at positions 686 to 864 of the family's 1831-position model. The record is from RNAcentral. Lineage: Eukaryota; Fungi; Glomeromycota.
GGGUCAGUAGGUUGGUCGUGCCACCGGUACGUACUGGUCUCACUGAUUCCUCCUUCCUGAAGAACCGUAAUGCCAUUAAUUUGGUGUUGCGGGGAAACAGGACUGUUACUUUGAAAAAAUUAGGGUGUUUAAAGCAAGCUAACGCUCGAAUACAUUAGCAUGGAAUAAUGAAAUAGGACGAUCGAUCCUAUUUUGUUGGUUUCUAGGAUUGACGUA